RNAcentral lists this transfer-messenger RNA (361 nucleotides) under Litoribrevibacter albus. It matches the Rfam family "transfer-messenger RNA". Rfam says of the family: Bacterial tmRNA, also known as 10Sa RNA or SsrA, is named for its dual tRNA and mRNA-like properties. The record is from Rfam by way of RNAcentral. Lineage: Bacteria; Pseudomonadati; Pseudomonadota; Gammaproteobacteria; Oceanospirillales; Oceanospirillaceae.
GGGGGUGACUUGGCUUCGACGUUGGCGACGAAACUUUAGGUGCAUGUCGAGAGGGGUAUACGAUCUCGUAAAUCAACGUUUACCGUUUUUAUAGUUGCAAACGAAGACAACUACGCUCUAGCGGCUUAAGCCCGCUAGCACUGCCUGUGUUUUAAGUGCCUAUGCUUCACAGACCGGUGUCAUCUUUCAUAGGAUACGCCGACAGCAAUGCUUACGUGUCUAGGCCGACAAUUUAAGUAAGCUCGCCCCAUCCACCCUGUCCUUCGGGUCGGUACGGGUUAAUCCAAUAGAAGUGACUAAGCAUGUAGUACCGAGAGCGGAGUGCUCGCGGACGCGGGUUCGACUCCCGCCACCUCCACCA